RNAcentral lists this ribosomal RNA (432 nucleotides) under Loxothylacus panopaei. RNAcentral's name for it is "partial 16S ribosomal RNA". The record is from RNAcentral. Lineage: Eukaryota; Metazoa; Arthropoda; Thecostraca; Sacculinidae.
GUUUAUCAAAACACAUUUUCUUUAAUUAUUAAAGAUAUUCCCUGCUCACUGUUUAUAUAGAGAGCUGCAGUAUCCUGACUGUGCUAAGGUAGCAUAAUAAUUUGUUUUUUAAUUGAAAACUGGUAUGAAAGGGUUAACGAAAUUAUAACUUUCUUAACUAAUUAAAUAAAAUUUUAUUUUUAAGUGAAAAAGCUUAAAUAAUUUUAAAAGACGAGAAGACCCCUAGAAUUGAUGUUGUAGUCUGUUUAAUUUAUAUUAUGAAAUAUUUAUGCAAGUAGAACUUAGCUGGGGCGGUUAGUAAGUAUAGUAACCUUAUGAAUUAUAAACUAUAAUAGAAAAUUUGAAGUUUAAAUAAUUUAUUUGAAAAUUACCUUGGGGAUANCAGCGUAAUUUUAGUUUAAAGUUCUUAUAUUAACUGAAGUUUGCGACCUC